UCGUGCUAGACGGGGAGUUGGCGGCCCCUUGUAACCCGCAAUCCGCCAUAGCGGGGUGGAAUUCCGACCCCAGGGCUGGCAAACUUGGGUCAGCCUGUCGAGCGCGGCGUUGAGGGCCGGGCCCGGCGCAACGGUGAUGCUCGAACCUGGUCAGGGCCGGAAGGCAGCAGCCAUAAGGGCUAAUCACCGCGUGCCGCCGACCGCCCGGCAGGAGCUAGCGACGAUGGUACCGCCAAGUGCGUCAGUUCGAAGGUCGGUGCACGG
Molecule: signal recognition particle RNA, 264 nt
Filed under: Armatimonadota bacterium
Lineage: Bacteria; Bacillati; Armatimonadota
Description: Armatimonadetes bacterium (fermentation metagenome) signal recognition particle sRNA large type
Rfam family: Bacterial large signal recognition particle RNA
About the family: The signal recognition particle (SRP) is a universally conserved ribonucleoprotein involved in the co-translational targeting of proteins to membranes.
Source: RNAcentral